CGCACAUUGCGCCCUUUGGCAUUCCGAAGGGCAUGCCCGUUCGAGCGUCAUUAAAUCCAAUCAAGCCUGGCUUGGUAUUGGGCGUCGGGGCUCCCGUGCCUCAAUUUCACCGGCUGGCCGUGGCCUGUUGUAGCGUUGUGACACAAUCUCGCUAACAAUUGACCCGGACUACGCCGUUAAGCCACACGAAUUUCCAUCGAAAUUUGAUUAAGGUUGACCUCGGAUCGGGUAGGAAUACCCGCUGAACUUAA
This 251-nucleotide unclassified non-coding RNA is filed under the name Dothideomycetes sp. RNAcentral's name for it is "partial contains 5.8S ribosomal RNA, internal transcribed spacer 2, and large subunit ribosomal RNA". The record is from RNAcentral. Lineage: Eukaryota; Fungi; Ascomycota; Dothideomycetes.